This 92-nucleotide transfer RNA is filed under the name Chryseobacterium sp. RNAcentral describes it as "tRNA-Ser". It matches the Rfam family "tRNA". Rfam says of the family: Transfer RNA (tRNA) molecules are approximately 80 nucleotides in length. Their secondary structure includes four short double-helical elements and three loops (D, anti-codon, and T loops). Lineage: Bacteria; Pseudomonadati; Bacteroidota; Flavobacteriia; Flavobacteriales; Weeksellaceae. The record is from RNAcentral.
AGAGCGUUGGCAGAGUGGUUUAAUGCACCUGUUUGCUAAACAGACUGUCGACUGAAUAAGUUGGCACGUGAGUUCAAAUCUCACACGCUCUU